GGAAUUGUUCGCAAUGGGCGCAAGCCUGACGACGCAACGCCGCGUGGAGGAUGAAGAUCUUCGGGUCGUGAACUCCUGUCGAGUGGGAAGAAACGUUUCGGGGCGAAUAUCCCCGGCAUUUGACGGUACCACUAAACGCAGCCACGCCUAACUCCGUGCCAGCAGCCGCGGUAAUACGGGGGGGGCAAGCGUUGUUCGGAAUUACUGGGCGUAAAGGGCUCGUAGGCGGCCAACUAAGUCGGAUGUGAAAUCCCCAGGCUCAACCUGGGAACUGCAGCCGAUACUGGAUGGCUUGAAUUCGGGAGAGGGAUGCAGAAUUCCAGGUGUAGCGGUGAAAUGCGUAGAUAUCUGGAGGAAUACCGGUGGCGAAGGCGGCAUCCUGGACCGACAUUGACGCUGAGGAGCGAAAGCUAGGGGAGCAAAC
RNAcentral lists this ribosomal RNA (424 nucleotides) under uncultured bacterium. RNAcentral describes it as "bacterial SSU rRNA". It matches the Rfam family "Bacterial small subunit ribosomal RNA", at positions 358 to 773 of the family's 1533-position model. The record is from RNAcentral.